Carica papaya (papaya) is the source of this 1895-nucleotide long non-coding RNA. RefSeq lists it as uncharacterized. The record is from RefSeq and is a predicted model, not a curated record. Lineage: Eukaryota; Viridiplantae; Streptophyta; Magnoliopsida; Brassicales; Caricaceae.
GAAAAGAGAGUUUGAGAGAGAAAGAAAUAUAGAUUUGAGGAGAGAAUAUUUUAAAAAGGGAGAAAAAGUUGUUAGAGAGAGAAAAAAGCUGUUAGAAAGAGAAAACACAUAAAUGUGAUAUUUUAUUGCUUGAAUUCCACGAAUAUAUUGUUCGAUCCACUAUCACUUAUUUAUAUACAUGAAUCGGUGUAAAUUUCUUCAUUUGGAUUCACCAAACAUCGCCGAAAGUCACCGUUCAGAGUUGGGGAUGCGUUGAUUAGAGGAAGAAGAUGAAUAGGCAUGAGUUGGUUUAAGACUAAAGCAUGUGCAGUUCAACGGAUAGAGUUGGCUUGGUUCGUCUAGGAAAGACAAUGGUUUAGAAUGGUUCGACGCUUCAGUGUUUCAAUUCGCUUCAAAUGCUGUCGCAUAACUUUCAGGAGAGGAUUAUGUCUCCCAGGUAAUAUUUCUUUAGUAAGGACACAUGGAAAACAAGAUGUAUUCUAGCUUUUGGAGGAAGUUGCAAUCGAUAGGCUACUGCACUGAUUUUUUUCUCAAUCUUAUAAAGGCCAUAGAAUUUUGGAAGCAGUUUAUAACCCUUUUUUGUAGCUAUUGAGACUUGGUUGUAGGGUUAAAGUUUAAAAAGAACCAAGUCACCUUCUUCAAACUAUCGUUCUGUUCUAUGUCCGUCAACAUAUUACUUCAUUUUGUUUUGAGUGGUAAGGCAUGUUUGUUUCAGAUAUCUAUUUAUUUGUUGCCUUUCUUCCAAAAAGGUUUCAAGGUCUGCUGAUGGAGUGUCGAUGUCAACAGUAUCCAAAAAAUAUAAUGGUGGAUACCCGUAGAGAGCCUGAAAGGGUGACAUUUUUAUACUUGAACGAUAGGUGGUAUUAUACCACCAUUCGGCUAACCCAAUCCCUUUUUCCCAAGAGUUAACGUUGGAGUGAUCCAUACAUCGAAGAUACCCUUCUAAACACUAGUUGAGUCAUUCAAUCUGACCAUCUGUUUGAGGAUGAUAAGAGGACUGUAAUGAAGAGUUGUUCCUGUUAACCUCAUUUAAUUCUUCCCAGAAGAGACUGGUGAAAACUUUAUCUCUGUCUGAAAUAAUGAUUUGAGGGUUUCCCAUGUAAUCGGUGAAUCUGGUCAAGGAUUGGGGACAUGAGUCCUCUAUGGUAGGAUUGACAAUCUCUAUGGUAAGCCUUGCCAAUCUCUAACCCAUUGGAAUGAGGUUGGGGACAUGAGUCUCCCUGCAUCGGAUUAUAUCUAGGAGGUUAUCGAGAAGGUUAACGUUAUCCAGAGGCACUUCCUCACUGCUCAGAGUCGCUAGAAAAGUUGCACAGACAACCAAAGGUGUCCCUUGGAGUUUACGGUUGCUGACCAUACUUUCCUCAAGGUCUUUCCAUGCAAGGUAGGAUUAUGGUAUCGACAAAGAGAUAAGCUAAGUCCUCGUUAUGUUAGACACUUGAAGAUCGCAAAACGUAUAGGCCCCAUGGCGUACUGCCCCACUUUGACCCUUGAGUAUGCUUCCUUACACGAUGUCUUCAAGGUUUCUAUUAUCUGAAAAUGUCUCUGCGAUCCUUCUCACAACAUCCUGCACCCAAGAGCUCCUAUCCACAUAGACAAAACCUAUAUAGCAUAUCUUAUAGAGAUCAUCAACUAGAUGAGGAAGGUUCUAUGUAACGAGAGGAUUUUCAUAAUCAGGGUGUGUUGACAGCACCACACUUCAAAAGAGGUGACAUGGGAAGAGGAAAAAGGGAUGUGGGAUGUGGGACCUAUAUCUUGAUUUGUUUUAAAAAACUCUUAUAAAUUUAGAGGACAAAAUUUGUAUAAGGUGGGAGAAAUGUAACACCCUGAAACCUUUGCAUUUAACGUGUAUCGAACUCCAUUAUUUAGGUCUCAUAGCCAUUUAAAUUCUGUUAUUA